GCCUACUUAACUUAAUUGGUAGAGUAUCGGUUUUGUAAACCGAAAGUUAUCGGUUCGAGUCCGAUAGUGGGCU
This 73-nucleotide transfer RNA is filed under the name Prototheca stagnorum. RNAcentral describes it as "tRNA-Thr". It matches the Rfam family "tRNA". From Rfam's summary of the family: Transfer RNA (tRNA) molecules are approximately 80 nucleotides in length. Their secondary structure includes four short double-helical elements and three loops (D, anti-codon, and T loops). RNAcentral also lists the same sequence under 1 other name. The record is from RNAcentral. Lineage: Eukaryota; Viridiplantae; Chlorophyta; Trebouxiophyceae; Chlorellales; Chlorellaceae.